CAUAAAGGGUUCGGAAGAUUAAAAAAAAAAGUAGCUAUCCGUUUGGUGGCGAUGGCGGAGGGGAACCACGCGUUCCCAUACCGAACACGACCGUUAAGCCCUCCAGCGCCAAUGGUACUUAGACCGCAGGGUCUUGGGAGAGUAGGACGUCGCCAAGCGGGUGUCAUGUUACACCUUCGCAGCAGCCGCAAGGCUCAGCUGUGAUUUACUUUGCACCUUGAAAACUGGAUAACGAAAGAAAAGAAAUGCUGAAACAUCCUUUAGCAAAGCAUAUGCUUUCGAAGUACUUUACUUCGUAAAGUUUAAGGUUUUUAAAGGAAGAGCGCACGGAGGAUACCUAGGCACACAGCGUUUAGAGG
This 359-nucleotide unclassified non-coding RNA is filed under the name uncultured Bacteroidota bacterium. The record is from RNAcentral. Lineage: Bacteria; Pseudomonadati; Bacteroidota.